ACACACACUCACACAUAAACGUGCACACACACACACACACACACAUAUAGAGACUGAUAGAUAGAUAGACACAGAUAUAGCUAUUCAUAUAUACACACACGUGUGUUUAUGUGUGUGUGUGUGUGUGCAUCUGUAAUCUAUAUAUGCAUAUCUAUCCCGCUGUUUAUCUAUAUGUACACAUACACACACACACACACACACACACACUCACACACACACACAUACACACACAUACACACACACACACACGAAAAAAACGAAUUAUAUAGAUGUAAAAAAAAUCCUAAUCCUCUCUGCUGAGAAGAUUUACCAAGUCGCUUCUUCGUCAAACGCCGCUGCAUGGAUUGUGCAUGGUGGAGAGAGCAGGGCAGCUCAUGGCAUCGAUAGAGGAAAGGGCAGAACAGAGCACUUUAAGCAUGGAAACUGUCAUUUUCAGGCACGUUUCAGUCAUUCAACUACUGCCGCUGAUAAAUGGAUGCCCGUGGGAACAAGAUUUAUUAUUUAUUAUUUAUUAUUGUUCAAAAGUAUGAGAUUUGUCGUUUAUUUUUAUAUCAUUACACUCCCUGUUGUUUGAAGCCAUUUAUCCAUAUGAUCCCUACAUUCCAAAACAUUAACAAAUCAUCAAAACUUUUCACUCCUGGAUUCACAAACCGCUGAUUCAUACCCUCACAUCAUCAUCAUUAUAUCGUUCAAAUUAAAAGAUAGAAUAUCAUCAUACAAAUUCAUAUAAAUAUAUAUAUUCAACUAUACAAAAAAUACGAAAUGCACCUGCCAUAAUAUUUUGUUCUUACCCAACGUAAAGUCUUUGUCUUCUGCAUUGUCAUAUACAGGGCAAUGACUCGUUGGUAACCUGCCUAACUAUGUGAUAAUCACUUUUCUUUUGUAAAGAAAAGAAUAUUGUGAUAUUUCAGUGUUAAUAGUUAGGUAAGGCAAUAAAGCAUUUUUGAAAAUU
Long non-coding RNA from Penaeus indicus, 952 nucleotides. RefSeq lists it as uncharacterized. The record is from RefSeq and is a predicted model, not a curated record. The transcript has 2 exons. NCBI's taxonomy places the organism in Eukaryota, Metazoa, Arthropoda, Malacostraca, Decapoda, Penaeidae.